AGGACUUCCAGCGGCGGACGGGUGAGUAACGCGUGAACAAUCUGUCCCAGACAGGGGGAUAACAGAUGGAAACAUCUGCUAAUACCGCAUAAGACCACGUGCCCGCAUGGGUGUGGGGUAAAAGGAGCAAUCCGGUUUGGGGUGAGUUCGCGUCUGAUUAGCUAGUUGGUGAGGUAACGGCCCACCAAGGCGACGAUCAGUAGCCGACCUGAGAGGGUGAUCGGCCACACUGGAACUGAGAAACGGUCCAGACUCCUACGGGAGGCAGCAGUGGGGAAUAUUGGGCAAUGGGCGAAAGCCUGACCCAGCAACGCCGCGUGAAGGAAGAAGGUUUUCGGAUUGUAAACUUCUGUCCUCAGGGAAGAAACAAAUGACGGUACCUGAGGAGGAAGCCCCGGCUAACUACGUGCCAGCAGCCGCGGUAAUACGUAGGGGGCGAGCGUUGUCCGGAAUGACUGGGCGUAAAGGGCGCGUAGACGGUUGUCUAAGUCUGGAGUGAAAGUCCUGCUUUCAAGGUGGGAAUUGCUUUGGAGACUGAAUGACUUGAGUGCGGAAGAGGUAAGUGGAAUUCCCAGUGUAGCGGUGAAAUGCGUAGAGAUUGGGAAGAACACCAGUGGCGAAGGCGACUUACUGGGCCGUAACUGACGUUGAUGCGCGAAAGCGUGGGGAGCGAACAGGAUUAGAUACCCUGGUAGUCCACGCGGUAAACGAUGAGUGCUAGGUGUAGCGGGUAUCGACCCCUGCUGUGCCGGAGUUAACACAAUAAGCACUCCGCCUGGGGAGUACGGCCGCAAGGUUGA
This 800-nucleotide ribosomal RNA is filed under the name uncultured bacterium. RNAcentral's name for it is "bacterial SSU rRNA". It matches the Rfam family "Bacterial small subunit ribosomal RNA", at positions 85 to 897 of the family's 1533-position model. The record is from RNAcentral.